This is a long non-coding RNA of Cyprinus carpio carpio, 4535 nucleotides long. The record is from Ensembl. NCBI's taxonomy places the organism in Eukaryota, Metazoa, Chordata, Actinopteri, Cypriniformes, Cyprinidae.
AUGAUGAGUCAUGUCGAGGAGGAAGAUGAGGAAGCAGGACCGAGGAAAAAAACUAAACGUAACUUUGAUGACUAUGUUCUUGAAUCUGACGAUUUGGAGGAGGAAGAAGAGAACAUGACAGAUGCCAUUAUCAAGGUGCCCUCCUUUCCCAUUCCACCAACAAAGGUGACAAAGUCCAUCCAGAUGGAGUCUGCUGGAUUUAACAAAAAGUCCACUGACCCUGGACAUUUAAACAUAAACCGAGCCAGCCAGUUGAGGGGUGCUUGGUCCAGUCAUCAGUCCAGCCACAGUGAUGUAUCCCAGCACAGUGAUGUAUCCCAGCGGAGUGUCGGGUCCCAGCACAGCAAACGGUACCGACACAGGAAGCAGUCCAGGCACAGCGACCGGUCCAGGGACAGCAACCAGAUGGGACAAGGCAAGCACUCAAGGCACAGCGAUUUUGUCCAAGGACAGUAUUCAUUUAAACCUUUAUGCGGUUCACAGAGUCAAGAAUGUAAAUGUUCUAAAGUAGUGGCAGUGUUAUGAGAUAUUUCGAGCAUAUUUUCAACAACUGGUUUUAUGUUUAACAUUCUGAACCUCAUGGUUGAAGAUAGGGUGUGCCGAUAGAUAAUAGUAUCAUGUCAUAUCGCUUGUUGCUGAUGCCUUUGACGAUAGCAAAAUAUUAGCAAAUAUUAUUAUUAUUAUUAUUAUUAUCCGUCAAAAAUACACUAGGCGGCUAUCUUAAGCGAAGCAGCAUGGAGCAGCUGGUAUAAACACAAGCAUUGACUAUACUGGCUGCGAUCAGCUCGUGGCCUCGUCAGAGCUGUAAUGUGCCACAUACAUGUGCAAUGUAAAUAAGGGGUAAGAGAUUUAUUCAACAUACAAUUUACAUGGCUUCACUGAGUAUAACAGGUGUGUUUUUGCACCGAUUGAGCUUGACUGACUGCUGAGUACAGCAGAGGCAGGAAUUGCGCACUGGGGUUGUUUGAGUCAUUCAAACUUAAUAAAUAAUAUAGGCACAAAACUUGCUACAAGAGCUAUAUCCACUAUUACGAACAACAGAGUAAUAUUUGACAAAUUUUGUCUUUCAGAUUAUGAAAUUGAUCAAACACAAAUCUUAAAAUCCUCUGGGAGGUCUUUUUCAGAGCAGAGUAACAGGUCCUCUGCACAUGAAUCAAGACGUACAGGGCCUCGUAGGGAAACAGACUUAAGAUUUCCAAUGGAUAUGGCAAGUAAGUACUUAAGUUGUAACUGGUAUCAAAAUCACAAAUAUUGAAUUAAACAGGACAUAUAGCAUUAGCAGAUUUAACUUACACAUCUGUUUAAGGAUAACAAUAGCAUAAUUUUCAGCUUGCAAGAAUUGGAGGGAAAGAUGUAAGGGAUUGUGUCCGUAGAAUUCUUGACAGGUAUUUUCACCAGUAUCCCUACAUAUAGAACUAGCCAAACAUGUUACAUUUAUUGUUUGCCAGUCGACAGAGAUGUGUCAUAUCUAUCUCUGCUUAUACUAUACUCUCAUUUUGUUCAAAAUCUGAAUCUAUUUCUUUCUUGUGCUGAACAUAAAAUAAGUUUUUGGAGAAUGUGGGUAACCAAACAGUUGCUGGUCCACAUUGACUUUGACAGCAGGAAAUAAAUACUAAGGAAUUCACUAAGGACCAGCAACUGUUUGGUUACCCAGAUUCUUCAAAAUAACUUUCAUUUUCAACAGAAGAAAUAAACUCAUUUAGGUUUAAAACAACUUGAGAGAGGGAAAAUGAUGAGAGGAUGAUAAUUUUUUGGGUGAACUAUCCCUUUAAUGUUAACAAAACACAAAACAUCUUGACUGAAGAACUUUAAUACAGUUGCUUUAAUAAGAAUCAAGUGUUACACAGUGAAGUGUAUAUAAUGCUUUAUAUUUCUUCAUUCAAUUUCUUGAAUGCUACUGCUAAAUACAUCUACUGUACCUAAAAACAAAGCACUGCUUGUUUUAUUUGUAUGUGUAUUUUUAAUGUGUUUCUUUAUUCUUAUUUUUUAAUAACAAAGAUAACAUAAUGACAAAGUUUUUAUCUUCGCCCAUUUUGGCCUAAAUGUCUGACUAAUGUUUUUUUUUUUAUUUUAUACUGUGUUACCUUGUAAGGCUUUGUUUUUAAAAUAGGGAAAUUAGUUUGGCUGUACUGUAAGUAAUUGUGAUUUUCCUAAAAAACAAUUUUAAAUUAAAGCUGCAAGCAGCGAUGAAAGGGCCCUCGCACCCGUGCUCACCACCACCACCCGUGCUCACCACCACCCGGUGGCCAUAGGAGAUCGGUGAACGUUGGACCAUAUGCUUUUAAAAUGGUAAAUAUUUGUGCCACAUUUCCUGCUGCCAAGAGGUGGCGCUAUGAUUAUAUCUGAAUAUUGGCAUGUAAAUGUCUUCAGGCCAGGACUUUUACCAAACAUGCAAAGUUCCGGGCAGAUCAGACAUUGCAUGUUUAAGUUAUUGUAAAAGAAGUUAUUUCCUGUUGCCAGCAGGUGGCACAAAGACUAUAAAUAAAUAUUGGCCUAAAGGUGAGUUCAGGCCAGCACCCAUAUCAAACACAUGAACUUUGGACAGACUGGAUAUUGCAUGUUUAAAUUAGUUUAAAUCAAGUAAUUUCCUGUCGCCAGCAGGUGGCGGUAUGAUUAUAACUGAAAUAUUGGCCUUAAGAUCUGCUGAGAGUUAAAGUUAGUUUAAAAUAAGUAAUUUCCUGUUGCCAGCAGGUGGCGCUAUAAUUAUAAUUGAAUAUUGGCCUUUAGAUGUGUUCAGGCCAGGACUUUUAUAAAACGUGUGAAGUUUGGGGCAGAUUGGGCAUUGUAUGCAUGAGUUACAACAACUUCCUGUUUCAUAGGAUUAAAAGCAUCCUUUAGCACAUAGUAAGUUUUGCUAGCAUGUUUGAGAAUAUUUCUAGCAUGAUUAGCACACAAUGGCAUAUUUUACAUUUCCUGCUGCCAACUGGUGGCGCUAUGAUUAUAACUGAAUAUCGGCAUGUAAAUGUCUUCAGGCCAGGACUCUUACCAAACAUGCAAAAUUUCGGGCAGAUCAGACAUUGCAUGUUUAAGUUAGUGUAAAAGAAGUAAUUUCUUGUUGCCAGCAGGUGGCGCUAAGACUAUAAACAAAUUUUGGCCUAAAGAUGAGUUUAGGCCAGGACCCAUAUCAAACGCAAGAACUUUGGGCAGACCGGAUAUUGCAUGUUUAAGUUAGUUUAAAACAAGUAAUUUCCUGUCGCCAGCAGGUGGCGGUAUGAUUAUAACUGAAAUAUUGGCCUUAAAAUCUGUUGAGACUAGGAAUCUUAUCAAACAUGCAAAGUUUCGGGCAGAUCAGACAUUGCAUGUUUAAGUUAGUGUAAAAUAAGUAAUUUCCUGUUGCCAGCAGGUGGCACUAAGACUAUAAAUAAAUAUUGGCCUAAAGAUGAGUUCAGGCCAGGACUCUUAUAAAACGUGUGAAGUUUGGGGCAGAUUGGGCAUUGUAUGCAAGAGUUACAAUAACUUCCUGUUUCAUAGUAAUAAUAGCAUCCUUUAGCACAUAGUAAGUUUUGCUAGCAUGUUUGAGAAUAUUUCUAGCAUGAUUAGCACACAAUGGCAUAUUUUACGGGGUUCGCUAAUAGUGCAUAAAAGUAUUAAAACAUGUCACUUCCUGUUGUCAGUAGGUGGCACUAUAACUAUAACCAAAUAUGAGCAUGUAGAUAUCUUCAGGCCAGGACUCUAAUCAAACUUGUGAAGCUUGAGGCAGAUUGGACAUAGUAUGCACGAGUUCCAGUAAUGUUCUACUUCACUGCAUUUAAUAGCAUGCUUUAACACUGAGCUAAGUGUUGCUAGCAUGUUUAAGCAUGCUUCUAGAAUUUUGCCAGCCUAUUUAACACAUGUUGAUGCUUUUUAUUAUUUUGCAAGGAGUCCAUAAGAGUGUUAAACAUCCCACACAGCAGGAGACUCCUAGGCGGAUCCGCCUUCAAGUCGCCAAACCCGCGUGACUGUCAAAUUCGUUUUGGCGCCGCCCAGAGGAUCAGCUCCGCCUCCGGGCGGCGCCGUCAAACAGCGGAUCCUGAGCGGACCCGUGUCGGAUGCUCGGACGCGGACGCGCCUUUACUGCAACGGUUGAACACAGCACACCAAGAGCCGACAUCAGUCGAGAAUUUCUUUGCUGGGACACGGUUGCGCUGAACCCUCUUUUGAGUAAGUAUUGAUUUAUUGAUAUAUUGCGACAUUCACAGUAAACAUUGGUUUUUAAAUCAUCAUGUAUAUUAAUGAUUGUAAUGACGUUGUUUGAUAUUAGGACAACUUUAACAUGUUCACUCGUGGAUAAUGGUUUAGCACUAGCUUCUAGCUAGCUGUGCAUUAUUAAGUUUGCAUUUUUGUAAUUUUGGUCUCGUGUGUGUAUCUGCCAUCCUCUUUAUAAUGAAAAAUUAAGCUUCGGCAUUUUAAUCACUGUUUGAGUCGGGCCGCCUGUUUGAACGUCAAAAAGUGCGGGCUUAUCUGCUAAUGUUAGCUAAGUUACCGUCUAUUAGCUUGAAACCAUCGACUAAAUAGACCGGUGAUUUAACGUUACCGCUCAUUUUACACAGUUUAAC